RNAcentral lists this ribosomal RNA (253 nucleotides) under uncultured bacterium. RNAcentral's name for it is "partial 16S ribosomal RNA". It matches the Rfam family "Bacterial small subunit ribosomal RNA", at positions 524 to 776 of the family's 1533-position model. The record is from RNAcentral.
UACGGGGGGGCAAGCGUUGUUCGGAAUUCCUGGGCGUAAAGGGCGCGUCGGCGGCCCUGGUAAGUCUGCGGUGAAAGCCCGGGGCUCAACCCCGGGUCGGCCGCGGGUACUGCCGGGCUGGAGUGCCGUAGGGGCAGGCGGAAUUCCGGGUGUAGCGGUGGAAUGCGUAGAGAUCCGGAAGAACACCGGUGGCGAAGGCGGCCUGCUGGGCGGCGACUGACGCUGAGGCGCGACAGCGUGGGGAGCAAACAGG